GGGGUGCCCAGGCGCGAAAACUUUGCAAUACACGAAAGUGUGACAGGGUUAUCCCGAGUGCCGACCGCUGAGGUUGGCUUUUACCCAGUCUAGAAAGCUGGGGGAAUAAGGAGAGGGCAAGUCUGGUGUCAGCCGCCGCGGUAAUACCAGCUCUCCGAGUGGUGUGGACGUUUAUUGGGCCUAAAGCAUCCGUAGCUGGCUGGACAAGUCCCCUGUUAAACCCACCGAUUUAAUCGUUGGCGUGCGGGGGAUACUGCUCGGCUAGGGGACGAGAGAGGCAGACGGUAUUCCCGGGGUAGGGGUGAAAUCCUAUAAUCCCGAGAAGACCACCAGUGGCGAAGGCUGUCUGCUAGAACACGCCCGACGGUGAGGGAUGAAAGCUGGGGGAGCGAACCGGAUUAGAUACCCGGGUAGUCCCAGCUGUAAACGAUGCAGACUAGGUGUUUGGACGGCCACGUGCCGUUCUAGUGCCGCAGGGAAGCUGUUAAGUCUGCCGCCUGGGGAGUACGAUCGCAAGAUUGAAACUUAAAGGAAUUGGCGGGGGAGCAC
Molecule: ribosomal RNA, 549 nt
Filed under: uncultured archaeon
Lineage: Archaea
Description: bacterial SSU rRNA
Rfam family: Archaeal small subunit ribosomal RNA
Source: RNAcentral